CGAGGAGCCGCCGCAGCAUCCCCCCCCGGGGGUAGGCUGCCGGUCUCGUGCGGCGUCGGCGUCGGUGAGGAAUGC
Molecule: unclassified non-coding RNA, 75 nt
Filed under: Pavetta abyssinica
Lineage: Eukaryota; Viridiplantae; Streptophyta; Magnoliopsida; Gentianales; Rubiaceae
Description: partial external transcribed spacer
Source: RNAcentral